This 121-nucleotide ribosomal RNA is filed under the name Geothelphusa aramotoi. Its description in RNAcentral is "5.8S rRNA". It matches the Rfam family "5.8S ribosomal RNA", at positions 1 to 116 of the family's 154-position model. From Rfam's summary of the family: 5.8S ribosomal RNA (5.8S rRNA) is a component of the large subunit of the eukaryotic ribosome. Lineage: Eukaryota; Metazoa; Arthropoda; Malacostraca; Decapoda; Potamidae. The record is from RNAcentral.
UACACAACUCUUAACGGUGGAUCACUCGGCUCGUGGGUCGAUGAAGACCGCAGCAAGCUGCGUGUCGGUAUGUGAAUCGCAAGAAUACCAGAUACAUCNACAAGUCGAACGCACAUUGCGG